AGCUGCAGUUCCCUGAUGGAAGCUUGCUCCAGAAAACAGCUGUUAAUCACAUGUUUGCUGCAUUUCCACUUCCUUUAGCCUGUCCUUGAACCAGCUAUAUCUCCUAGGCUGUAUCCCCUGAAGGGGCCUGACUCCAUUACUAGACUCCUGUUUCUGGGAUUUACCUAUAAGAGAUCCCUUCACCUCCC
RNAcentral lists this long non-coding RNA (188 nucleotides) under Fukomys damarensis (Damara mole-rat). Its description in RNAcentral is "lncRNA (ENSFDAG00000025817.1)". Lineage: Eukaryota; Metazoa; Chordata; Mammalia; Rodentia; Bathyergidae. The record is from RNAcentral.